AUACGUAGGGGGCGAGCGUUGUCCGGAAUGAUUGGGCGUAAAGGGCGCGUAGGCGGCCCGGUAAGUCUGGAGUGAAAGUCCUGUUUUUAAGAUGGGAAUUGCUUUGGAUACUGUCGGGCUUGAGUGCAGGAGAGGUAAGUGGAAUUCCCAGUGUAGCGGUGAAAUGCGUAGAGAUUGGGAGAAACACCAGUGGCGAAGGCGACUUACUGGACUGUAACUGACGCUGAGGCGCGAAAGUGUGGGGAGCAAGCAGGAUUAGAUACCCUGGUAGUCCACACUGUAAACGAUGAAUGCUAGGUGUAGGGGGUAUCGACCCCUUCUGUGCCGCAGUCAACACAAUAAGCAUUCCGCCUGGGGAGUACGGCCGCAAGGUUGAAACUCAAAUGAAUUGACGGGG
This 397-nucleotide ribosomal RNA is filed under the name uncultured bacterium. RNAcentral's name for it is "partial 16S ribosomal RNA". It matches the Rfam family "Bacterial small subunit ribosomal RNA", at positions 523 to 918 of the family's 1533-position model. The record is from RNAcentral.